CACGAAGACAAGGCCACCCAUGCAAAGUGCUGCCUCCUUGCUGGCCCACAUCCUAUUUAUAGUGUCAGUCUGUGAAACAAAUGUUUUCAGCCGUACAUCUGCAAGUGUUUCUGGCAUCUUGGGGGCUUCCCACUCUGGCAGGGAUUACAGGGACACCGGAGCACACCAUCUGCCUAGGAAUGUGAGCAAACUGGCUGAGAACCGAGCCCUCAAGACCCAACAAGCCGCUGCAUUCUGAAGACAGGGAGUCAGUUCUCAGUUCUCUUUUUCUCGGGCAUUACAGGCUGCGUUUUCCUUCCUUGUGAACAUGAUACUGAAGGUCUGAUCUCAUCUCAGCUGAGUCUGCCACCCCCAGACUCCCUACCGCUUCUGCUAUCCCA
Molecule: non-coding RNA, 380 nt
Organism: Microcebus murinus (gray mouse lemur)
Lineage: Eukaryota; Metazoa; Chordata; Mammalia; Primates; Cheirogaleidae
Source: RefSeq, a predicted model, not a curated record